GACGAACGCUGGCGGCGUGCUUAACACAUGCAAGUCGAACGGAAAGGCCCUGCUUUUGUGGGGUGCUCGAGUUGCGAACGGGUGAGUAACACGUGAGUAACCUGCCCUUGACUUUGGGAUAACUUCAUGAAACUGGGGCUAAUACCGGCUAGGAGCUCCCGCUGCAUGGUGGGGGUUGGAAAGUUUCGGCGGUUGGGGAGGGACUCGCGGCUUAUCAGCUUGUUGGGUGGGUAGUGGCUUACCAAGGCUUUGACGGGUAGCCGGCCUGAGCGGGGGACCGGCCACACUGGGACUGAGAUACGGCCCGGACUCCUACGGGAGGCAGCAGUGGGGAAUAUUGCACAAUGGGCGGAAGCCUGAUGCAGCAACGCCGCGUGCGGGAUGACGGCCUUCGGGUUGUAAACCGCUUUCGCCUGUGACGAAGCGUGAGUGACGGUAAUGGGUAAAGAAGCACCGGCUAACUACGUG
This 468-nucleotide ribosomal RNA is filed under the name uncultured bacterium. RNAcentral's name for it is "partial 16S ribosomal RNA". It matches the Rfam family "Bacterial small subunit ribosomal RNA", at positions 28 to 507 of the family's 1533-position model. The record is from RNAcentral.